RNAcentral lists this ribosomal RNA (265 nucleotides) under uncultured bacterium. RNAcentral's name for it is "partial 16S ribosomal RNA". It matches the Rfam family "Bacterial small subunit ribosomal RNA", at positions 88 to 354 of the family's 1533-position model. The record is from RNAcentral.
CCGGCGACCGGCGGACGGGUGCGUAACGCGUAUGUAACCUACCUUUGACAGGGGGAUAACAUCGAGAAAUUGGUACUAAUACCCUAUAACAUCACCGGAGGCAUCUUCGGUGGUUGAAAACUCAGGUGGUCAGAGAUGGACAUGCGUUGUAUUAGCUAGUUGGUGAGGUAACGGCUCACCAAGGCGACGAUACAUAGGGGGACUGAGAGGUCAACCCCCCACAUUGGUACUGAGACACGGACCAAACUCCUACGGAAGGCAGCAG